GCAUCCUCAGCAGCCACAGGCAAGGUAAGUUUGGGAUUUGCAUCUCCCUCAGCUUACCCGGCUAAGCUGGCUAGUUUUAUGUCAACAUGAAACAGUGCAUAGUCCUCAGAAAGGAAGGAACCUCAACUGAGAAAAUGUCUUCAUAAGAGGGCAGCUCAUUGUGAGUGGUGCCAGCCCUGGGCUGGUGAUCCUCAGUUCUGUAAGAAAGCAGGCCAUGCUCCUAUACAACAACCCCAAGGAUGGCGGGAGAGGACUACCACUCCUCAGGAGAAGCUGUCUGCAUGGGCUGAGCAGAGAUGGCUACAGUGCUUGCUGAAAGCAUGGUGACAAACAAGUGACCUAGAGUCACACUUCCUGCCUCUCAAAAUCAAAUCUGCCAGUCAGUGAUGUGGGGUGAGAAGGCACAGUUUCAGUUCGCACCCAUCCUACACCCUCUGCGGCUGCCCUACAGGCCUCCUUCCUCCUCCUCAGGCUCGGAGUUCACGUUGCUCUGCUCAGACAUUCGAGCCACCGGUGUGGCUGGUGGAACUCUGGCU
Molecule: long non-coding RNA, 536 nt
Filed under: Mus caroli (Ryukyu mouse)
Lineage: Eukaryota; Metazoa; Chordata; Mammalia; Rodentia; Muridae
Description: lncRNA (MGP_CAROLIEiJ_G0004199.1)
Source: RNAcentral